CGAAUACUUCACUGCAUGCAUUUUUUUAUUUCUAUUUCAGUAUAGUUUGUUUUUAAAUUAUUCACUACAAAAUUUUUCAUCAAAUUUCACUCCAAAAUCUCACUCCAAAAAUUUCACUCCAAAAUCUCACUCCAAAAGUUCACUCCAACACUCCACUCCAAUACUCCACUCCAACACUCCACUCCAUACAAUACAUUAUGCCG
RNAcentral lists this long non-coding RNA (203 nucleotides) under Mytilus galloprovincialis (Mediterranean mussel). The record is from RNAcentral. Lineage: Eukaryota; Metazoa; Mollusca; Bivalvia; Mytilida; Mytilidae.